Molecule: ribosomal RNA, 154 nt
Filed under: uncultured soil bacterium
Lineage: Bacteria
Description: partial 16S ribosomal RNA
Rfam family: Bacterial small subunit ribosomal RNA
Source: RNAcentral
AGAUUGAACGCUGGCGGCAUGCCUUACACAUGCAAGUCGAACGGCAGCACGGGAGCAAUCCUGGUGGCGAGUGGCGAACGGGUGAGUAAUACAUCGGAACGUGCCCAAUCGUGGGGGAUAACGCAGCGAAAGCUGUGCUAAUACCGCAUAAGAU